GGUGAACGCUGGCGGCGUGCCUAAGACAUGCAAGUCGAGCGGGCCGCGGGGUUUUACUCCGUGGUCAGCGGCGGACGGGUGAGUAACGCGUGGGUGACCUACCCGGAAGAGGGGGACAACCCGGGGAAACUCGGGCUAAUCCCCCAUGUGGACCCGCCCCUUGGGGUGUGUCCAAAGGGCUUUGCCCGCUUCCGGAUGGGCCCGCGUCCCAUCAGCUAGUUGGUGGGGUAAUGGCCCACCCAGGCGACGACGGGUAGCCGGCCUGAGAGGGUGGCCGGCCACAGGGGCACUGAGACACGGGCCCAACUCCUACGGGAGGCAGCAGUUAGGAAUCUUCCGCAAUGGGCGCAAGCCUGACGGAGCGACGCCGCUUGGAGGAAGAAGCCCUUCGGGGUGUAAACUCCUGAACCCGGGACGAAACCCCCGACGAGGGGACUGACGGUACCGGGGUAAUAGCGCCGGCCAACUCCGUG
Molecule: ribosomal RNA, 473 nt
Filed under: uncultured bacterium
Lineage: Bacteria
Description: partial 16S ribosomal RNA
Rfam family: Bacterial small subunit ribosomal RNA
Source: RNAcentral